GAGCAUACUUAAUAACAAGUCAAAGAUUUCAUUGUUAUAUUAUAAGAUAUUGUUUGUGUAGAACUGCUAGAGAGCUUAAUGAUAUGUCAUAAAAUCCAAGUCUCAUGAUUUUAUUAUGUGGCCUAUUCUCUUUUCCACAAUAAAAUCCAAGACUUGGAAAGGUCUUUCCAUUUUUUUUUUUUUUCAUUUUCUUAAUUGGAAGACGGUUUGGGAAGACUUUUGGGGAUUUCACACCCUUGAGUCAGAGUCAGAGUCUCUUUGGAAACUUUGCAAUUUGUGUUGGAACUGAAUGGAAUGAAAUUGAUAAGGAUGUUAUUGAUGGAUCGUCGCAUGCGCUUUACUGUACUGAUGGCCAAAGAGACCUGAGAGUGACUGUCACUUCACCUGGGUAGUUGUGGCCCUAUAUAUUUCAAAACAAAAUAAUUAGUUUUACAGAAAGUGGGUUGGAUAUUUAUGCGAUUUUACAAGGAGUAACGAGUAAAGAACAGUGAAGAGUCUUUGGCAAAACAUAAAAAACAGAUCAGUGAAAAGUUAUUGAUGAACCCAAACUCACAAACUUGCACAACUCUCUCACAAAGCCAAAGAAAACUCCCACUGACUUACUUCCUCCACUGUGGCUAGAACCGAAUACACAUU
RNAcentral lists this long non-coding RNA (636 nucleotides) under Prunus persica (peach). RNAcentral's name for it is "long non-coding RNA (PPER_LNC008122)". The record is from RNAcentral. Lineage: Eukaryota; Viridiplantae; Streptophyta; Magnoliopsida; Rosales; Rosaceae.